Long non-coding RNA from Camelina sativa (false flax), 926 nucleotides. RefSeq lists it as uncharacterized. NCBI's taxonomy places the organism in Eukaryota, Viridiplantae, Streptophyta, Magnoliopsida, Brassicales, Brassicaceae. The record is from RefSeq and is a predicted model, not a curated record.
AAAGAUUUUCAACAAGCGGAAAUCCAAAAAUCAUUAUUGAAGGUGGAAAAUCAUUCAGGAGGCAAAACACUUACCCAAAUUUCUAGUUUGUCCGCCAAAUUAAAACGUAGCUCAUCUUUUUUUCCCCUAAAAAAACAACAUUUAUACAAAAAAGAAAAUUCAAUUCAUUUAUCCCUAAUCUAAAAUCAAAGAAAUCUUCCCCUCUUCUCUCCACUUCUCCUCUCUCUUUGAUCUCUACUCUCUCAGUCUCCGUCUCUCUCCAGCGUCCGCUUCGUCGGCGAUUUCUCUUCCCUUUCUCCUCCAUCAUCUCAGCCGCCGUCAGCGGAGGUGGCCAUUCACGGGGUUGCCAAACUGAGUCUCAUGACCAGCAACUCGCCAAAGCCUUGACCUUUCCUCACUUAAUCGCAAUUGGUGUUGGAUCAACAAUUGGAGCAGGGGUUUAUAUUCUUGUGGGAACAGUGGCGAGAGAGCAUCUAGGACCUGCUCUAGCCUUUUCAUUCUUUAUAGCUGGUGUUUCUGUAGCACUCUCUAGUGUUUUUCCUUCAGCUGGAAGUGCCUAUCACUACUCUUACAGGUCAAACAGUAAAGUUGUAAGAAGGUCCAAAUUUGAUGAAGUUUACUUUUGCCGCGACAUAGCAGUUUCAUCGAUGGUGAGUGGUCACAAAAGCUUCAGGAAAUUGAUUGGAUGUUGUCUUGAGUUUGCUGGUCGAGUCACAGUUCUUUGCCUACAUUGGAUUUGAUUCAGUUGCAAAUAUGGCAGACGAGGUGAAAGGUUGUGAUGCUAGAAACAGCUAAACGUAGAUAGAAUACUUGCAAGAAUGUGGGACGAAAUGGGGACUUGUGAGAGUUUAUUAUAUUAUAUGAGACUUGUGAACUGUAUUCUGAAUUAUGCAAAUUUUAUACUACUAACUAACGGUUUGUGAUAA